Long non-coding RNA from Mus musculus (house mouse), 686 nucleotides. RefSeq annotates it as prediticted gene 6135. Lineage: Eukaryota; Metazoa; Chordata; Mammalia; Rodentia; Muridae. The transcript is spliced from 3 exons. The record is from RefSeq and is marked validated.
CUUUCCUGUCUCUAACUUACCAUGUGGUGGAAGUUCCUGUUUGGUUUGACUAUAAGUACUAAAUGUCUAGGAUACACACUACAAAAAAUCUUCCUAUUCACAGUUGUGGAGUAUGAUAAUUCGUGCUUCGUGCUCUUCCAAUCUUCCCAAUGAAGUUCCUGGUAUUCCUUGUGUUGAUUUGUGCCUCUACUAUCCUGGUAUUUUGUUUUCCCUCUGGAAGGAAAUCAGUUGAUGAAAGCAACUAUGUGGCUGAAGAACAACUCAUUAGGACUGUGAAAGGCAAAGGAUCUUCUCAGGAACCAGAAGACUCACAAGAAAGUUCUAUGAACAGUGGUGGCAAUGUGUUUGAUCGUGCUGAGAUGGUACUCCGGGGGAUCAUAGAUUGUUAUAACCUUAUAUCCAGAAGAAGAGGACUCAAUUUGUAAACCUCCUUACUUUUUAUUCAUUUGUAGGUGUCAUGAUUAUCCUCUGGAAUUUUAUAAGGUAGAUUCAUAAUUUCUUAUAUGAUAUGCCAAGGAUUCUGGGAACUUGCCUGUCUUAAUAAAAUGAGAUAUUUUUGGAUCUUCUUCUAUUCAGACUUCUCCAACUAUCUUCAAUUUUGUUUUGUCUGACUACUUACCCUGAUGGUUGUAUCCUUCAUCUAUAACUUUCAUCUUCUUUGCAAUAAAUGAGUUAUUACCAAUAAA